Molecule: unclassified non-coding RNA, 708 nt
Filed under: Hevea brasiliensis (rubber tree)
Lineage: Eukaryota; Viridiplantae; Streptophyta; Magnoliopsida; Malpighiales; Euphorbiaceae
Source: RNAcentral
GAAACAGGUGCAUUUUUCUUUUGCAUUAAUGGACCAGAAAUCAUGUCCAAAUUGGCUGGUGAGAGUGAGGGUAACUUGAGGAAGGCAUUUGAGGAAGCCGAAAAGAAUGCGCCAUCUAUUAUAUUUAUUGAUGAGUUAGACUCGAUUGCUCCAAAGAGAGAAAAGACACAUGGUGAAGUUGAGCGGCGAAUAGUUUCCCAACUUCUGACAUUAAUGGAUGGACUCAAGUCUCGAUCACAUGUGAUUGUCAUGGGGGCUACCAACAGACCAAACAGUAUUGAUCCUGCUCUCAGGAGAUUUGGAAGAUUUGAUCGGGAGAUUGACAUUGGCGUACCAGAUGAAAUAGGGAGGCUGGAGAUCCUACGUAUUCAUACUAAAAACAUGAAGCUCGAUGAUAAUGUUGAUCUAGAGAGGGUUGCAAGAGACACACAUGGUUAUGUCGGAGCUGAUCUUGCUGCCUUGUGCACUGAGGCUGCACUGCAGUGUAUCAGGGAGAAAAUGGAUGUUAUUGACUUGGAGGAUGAGACCAUUGAUGCUGAAGUGUUGAAUUCAAUGGCUGUGACUAAUGAGCAUUUUCAAACUGCUCUGGGUGCUUCAAAUCCAUCAGCACUAAGAGAAACGGUAGUGGAGGUUCCCAAUACAUCUUGGGAGGAUAUUGGGGGGCUGGAAAAUGUCAAGCGGGAACUUCAAGAGACUGUUCAGUACCCG